GGCCUAACACAUGCAAGUCGAGCGGUAGCACAGAGAGCUUGCUCUCGGGUGACGAGCGGCGGACGGGUGAGUAAUGUCUGGGAAACUGCCUGAUGGAGGGGGAUAACUACUGGAAACGGUAGCUAAUACCGCAUAACGUCGCAAGACCAAAGAGGGGGACCUUCGGGCCUCUUGCCAUCAGAUGUGCCCAGAUGGGAUUAGCUAGUAGGUGGGGUAAUGGCUCACCUAGGCAACGAUCCCUAGCUGGUCUGAGAGGAUGACCAGCCACACUGGAACUGAGACACGGUCCAGACUCCUACGGGAGGCAGCAGUGGGGAAUAUUGCACAAUGGGCGCAAGCCUGAUGCAGCCAUGCCGCGUGUAUGAAGAAGGCCUUCGGGUUGUAAAGUACUUUCAGCGAGGAGGAAGGCGUUAAGGUUAAUAACCUUAGCGAUUGACGUUACUCGCAGAA
RNAcentral lists this ribosomal RNA (450 nucleotides) under uncultured Gammaproteobacteria bacterium. RNAcentral's name for it is "bacterial SSU rRNA". It matches the Rfam family "Bacterial small subunit ribosomal RNA", at positions 45 to 486 of the family's 1533-position model. Lineage: Bacteria; Pseudomonadati; Pseudomonadota; Gammaproteobacteria. The record is from RNAcentral.